GAUUAGAGUUUGAUCCUGGCUCAGAUUGAACGCUGGCGGCAUGCUUUACACAUGCAAGUCGAACGGUAACAGGGAGCUUGCUCCGCUGACGAGUGGCGAACGGGUGAGUAAUGCAUCGGAACGUACCCAGUCGUGGGGGAUAACGUAGCGAAAGUUACGCUAAUACCGCAUACGUCCUGAGGGAGAAAGCGGGGGACCGAAAGGCCUCGCGCGAUUGGAGCGGCCGAUGUCGGAUUAGCUAGUUGGUAGGGUAAAGGCCUACCAAGGCGACGAUCCGUAGCGGGUCUGAGAGGAUGAUCCGCCACACUGGGACUGAGACACGGCCCAGACUCCUACGGGAGGCAGCAGUGGGGAAUUUUGGACAAUGGGCGCAAGCCUGAUCCAGCCAUGCCGCGUGAGUGGAGAAGGCCUUCGGGUUGUAAAGCUCUUUCAGGUGGAAAGAAAACGCAUGGGUCAAUACCCUGUGUGGAUGACGGUACCAUCAGAAGAA
RNAcentral lists this ribosomal RNA (490 nucleotides) under uncultured bacterium. RNAcentral's name for it is "bacterial SSU rRNA". It matches the Rfam family "Bacterial small subunit ribosomal RNA", at positions 1 to 489 of the family's 1533-position model. The record is from RNAcentral.